This 406-nucleotide ribosomal RNA is filed under the name uncultured bacterium. Its description in RNAcentral is "partial 16S ribosomal RNA". It matches the Rfam family "Bacterial small subunit ribosomal RNA", at positions 360 to 773 of the family's 1533-position model. The record is from RNAcentral.
AAUAUUGCGCAAUGGAGGGAACUCUGACGCAGCGACGCCGCGUGAGCGAUGAAGGUCUUCGGAUCGUAAAGCUCUUUCCGUGGGGAGGAAGGUCUUCGGGUUUGACGGUACCUAAGGAGGAGUCACCGGCUAACUACGUGCCGGCAGCCGCGGUAAUACGUAGGGGGCGAGCGUUGUCCGGAAUUACUGGGCGUAAAGUGUGCGUAGGCGGCCAAUUAAGUCAGAUGUGAAAUACCCGGGCUCAACCAUGGGAGUGCAUAUGAAACUGGUUGGCUUGAGUGCAGGAGAGGAAAGUGGAAUUCCUAGUGUAGCGGUGAAAUGCGUAGAGAUUAGGAGGAACACCAGUGGCGAAGGCGACUUUCUGGACUGUAACUGACGCUGAGGCACGAAAGCGUGGGUAGCGAAC